This is a long non-coding RNA of Passer domesticus (house sparrow), 297 nucleotides long. RefSeq lists it as uncharacterized. Lineage: Eukaryota; Metazoa; Chordata; Aves; Passeriformes; Passeridae. The transcript has 3 exons. The record is from RefSeq and is a predicted model, not a curated record.
GUUGAGUUACAGGUGUGUCUGCCGGGAGGACUUCUCCAGGUCCAGGGCUGGAUGCUUGGCCCCAACCCAGCUCCCAUGGCAGGGGUCCUGCAAAAGGAAAGACCCAAGAUACUGCAGCCAAAACAUCUCAUGAGGCAGAUGAAUUCCUGAGACAAACACAGAAGCAAGCACCCCGAGGACAAGUGAUGGACCAAAAGGCUGUUCAGGAGGAGGAACACUCAGGGAGAAGCAGUGGCUCAUUGGCAGCCCUAGCUGCAGGAAGGAAGGUGAUGGCAGAGACGGGCACAGGCACAGCAG